GCCCCGGCUAACUACGUGCCAGCAGCCGCGGUAAUACGUAGGGGGCAAGCGUUGUCCGGAUUUACUGGGCGUAAAGCGCGUGUAGGCGGCCACGCAGGUCCGUUGUGAAAACUGGAGGCUCAACUUCCAGACGUCGACGGAAACCGUGUGGCUAGAGUCCGGAAGAGGAGAGUGGAAUUCCUGGUGUAGCGGUGAAAUGCGCAGAUAUCAGGAAGAACACCAAUGGCGAAGGCAGCUCUCUGGGACGGUACUGACGCUGAGACGCGAAAGCGUGGGGAGCGAACAGGAUUAGAUACCCUGGUAGUCCACGCCGUAAACGAUGGGUGCUAGGUGUGGGAGGUGUCGACUCCUUCCGUGCCGUAGCUAACGCAUUAAGCACCCCGCCUGGGGAGUACGGCCGCA
RNAcentral lists this ribosomal RNA (402 nucleotides) under uncultured bacterium. RNAcentral's name for it is "bacterial SSU rRNA". It matches the Rfam family "Bacterial small subunit ribosomal RNA", at positions 490 to 890 of the family's 1533-position model. The record is from RNAcentral.